AGAGUUUGAUCCUGGCUCAGGAUGAACGCUGGCGGCGUGCCUAAUACAUGCAAGUCGAGCGCCCCUUUAAGAGGUGACAAUCGAAAGAUUGUCGGUUCCUAUGGGGAGCGGCGGACGGCUGAGUAACGCGUGGGAACGUGCCCCAAAGUGAGGGAUAAGCACCGGAAACGGUGUCUAAUACCGCAUAUGAUCUUCGGAUUAAAGCUUUAUGCGCUUUGGGAGCGGCCUGCGUCCUAUUAGAUAGCUGGUGAGGUAAAGGCUCACCAAGUCAACGAUGGGUAGCUGGUCUGAGAGGAUGACCAGCCAGACUGGAACUGAGACACGGUCCAGACUCCUACGGGAGGCAGCAGUAAGGAAUCUUCCACAAUGGGCGAAAGCCUGAUGGAGCAACGCCGCGUGCAGGAUGAAGGCCUUCGGGUCGUAAACUGCUUUUAUGAGUGAAGAAUAUGACGGUAACUCAUGAAUAAGGGUCGGCUAACUACGUGCCAGCAGCCGCGGUCAUACGUAGGACCCAAGCGUUAUCCGGAGUGACUGGGCGUAAAGAGUUGCGUAGGUGGCUUGUAAAGUGAAUAGUGAAAUCUGGGGGCUCAACCUCACAGGCUAUUAUUCAAACUCACAAGCUCGAGAGUGAUAGAGGUAACUGGAAUUUCUGAAGUAGGGGUAAUAUCCAGAUAUCAGAAGGAACACCAAUGGCGUAGGCAGGUUACUGGAUCAUUUCUGACACUGAGGCACGAAAGCGUGGGGAGCGAACCGGAUUAGAUACCCUAGUAGUCC
Molecule: ribosomal RNA, 774 nt
Filed under: uncultured bacterium
Lineage: Bacteria
Description: bacterial SSU rRNA
Rfam family: Bacterial small subunit ribosomal RNA
Source: RNAcentral